CAUACCUAUUCGAAGGGAUAGGGUCGGUUUGGCCGGAUUUCACACAGGUGUUGCAUGGCUGUCGUCAGCUCGUGUCGUGAGAUGUUGGGUUAAGUCCCGCAACGAGCGCAACCCUCAUCCUUAGUUACCAUCAGGUUAUGCUGGGGACUUUAAGGAAACUGCCAGUGAUAAACUGGAGGAAGGUGGGGAUGAUGUCAAGUCAUCAUGGCCCUUAUGGAGUGGGCUACACACGUGCUACAAUGGUGAUUACAAUGGGCUGCAAGGUCGCAAGGCUGAGCUAAUCCUAAAAAAUCAUCUCAGUUCGGAUUGUUCUCUGCAACUCGAGAGCAUGAAGUUGGAAUCGCUAGUAAUCGUGGAUCAGCAUGCCACGGUGAAUACGUUCUCGGGUCUUGUACACACUGCCCGUCACGCCAUGGGAAUUGGUUUCACUCGAAGCU
RNAcentral lists this ribosomal RNA (437 nucleotides) under Wolbachia pipientis. RNAcentral describes it as "bacterial SSU rRNA". It matches the Rfam family "Bacterial small subunit ribosomal RNA", at positions 992 to 1428 of the family's 1533-position model. The record is from RNAcentral. RNAcentral also lists the same sequence under 22 other names. Lineage: Bacteria; Pseudomonadati; Pseudomonadota; Alphaproteobacteria; Rickettsiales; Anaplasmataceae.